This 502-nucleotide ribosomal RNA is filed under the name uncultured bacterium. RNAcentral's name for it is "bacterial SSU rRNA". It matches the Rfam family "Bacterial small subunit ribosomal RNA", at positions 29 to 518 of the family's 1533-position model. The record is from RNAcentral.
AUGAACGCUAGCUACAGGCUUAACACAUGCAAGUCGAGGGGCAGCAUAACGAAAGCUUGCUUUUGUUGAUGGCGACCGGCGCACGGGUGAGUAACGCGUAUCCAACCUUCCCUAUACUAGAGAAUAGCCCGGCGAAAGUCGGAUUAAUGCUCUAUGUUCUUCUUUGAUGGCAUCUGACGAGAAGCAAAGGUUUACCGGUAUAGGAUGGGGAUGCGUCUGAUUAGGUUGUUGGCGGGGUAACGGCCCACCAAGCCUACGAUCAGUAGGGGUUCUGAGAGGAAGGUCCCCCACAUUGGUACUGAGACACGGACCAAACUCCUACGGGAGGCAGCAGUGAGGAAUAUUGGUCAAUGGGCGAGAGCCUGAACCAGCCAAGUAGCGUGCAGGGAAUGACUGCCCUAUGGGUUGUAAACUGCUUUUAUGCGGGAAUAAAGUCAGGUACGUGUACCUGUUUGUAUGUACCGCAUGAAUAAGGACCGGCUAAUUCCGUGCCAGCCGCAGC